Molecule: ribosomal RNA, 495 nt
Filed under: uncultured bacterium
Lineage: Bacteria
Description: partial 16S ribosomal RNA
Rfam family: Bacterial small subunit ribosomal RNA
Source: RNAcentral
GACGAACGCUGGCGGCGUGCCUAAUACAUGCCAGUAGAACGCUGAAGGAGGAGCUUGCUUCUCCGGAUGAGUUGCGAACGGGUGAGUAACGCGUAGGUAACCUGCCUGGUAGCGGGGGAUAACUAUUGGAAACGAUAGCUAAUACCGCAUAACAGUAGAUAUUGCAUGAUAUCUGCUUGAAAGGUGCAAUUGCAUCACUACCAGAUGGACCUGCGUUGUAUUAGCUAGUUGGUGAGGUAACGGCUCACCAAGGCGACGAUACAUAGCCGACCUGAGAGGGUGAUCGGCCACACUGGGACUGAGACACGGCCCAGACUCCUACGGGAGGCAGCAGUAGGGAAUCUUCGGCAAUGGACGGAAGUCUGACCGAGCAACGCCGCGUGAGUGAAGAAGGGUUUCGGAUCGUAAAGCUCUGUUGUAAGAGAAGAACGAGGGUGAGAGUGGAAAGUUCACACUGUGACGGUAUCUUACCAGAAAGGGACGGCUAACUACGUG